GUCCAGACUCCUACGGGAGGCAGCAGUGAGGAAUAUUGGUCAAUGGGCGGGAGCCUGAACCAGCCAAGCCGCGUGAAGGAAGAAGGCGCCAAGCGUCGUAAACUUCUUUUGUCGGGGAACAAAGGGCGCCACGUGUGGCGUUGUGAGUGUACCCGAAGAAAAAGCAUCGGCUAACUCCGUGCCAGCAGCCGCGGUAAUACGGAGGAUGCGAGCGUUAUCCGGAUUUAUUGGGUUUAAAGGGUGCGCAGGCGGGUGUGUUAUGGCAGUGAGAAAACCGGGGGGCUCACCCCCGGCGAGCCGUUGAAACUGCCGGGCUAGAGUGGGCGAGAAGUGCGCGGAAUGCGUGGUGUAGCGGUGAAAUGCAUAGAUAUCACGCAGAACUCCGAUUGCGAAGGCAGCGCACCGGCGCCCUACUGACGCUCAGGCACGAAAGCGUGGGUAUCGAACAGGAUUAGAUACCCUAGUA
This 466-nucleotide ribosomal RNA is filed under the name uncultured bacterium. Its description in RNAcentral is "bacterial SSU rRNA". It matches the Rfam family "Bacterial small subunit ribosomal RNA", at positions 329 to 792 of the family's 1533-position model. The record is from RNAcentral.